CCGGCUCCGACUCUGCCACCCCAGGUCCCAUUACAGUGCACUUGCCGACUGGCUGAGGAGGUCCUGCUCUGGGCCAGACCCUGCUGUAAGAAACCAGGACGGGGCAGGAUGGAAGCUUCUGGGGUGUAGGAGUACUUUAGUUUUGAUCCAGGCGGUAGUUACGGGCUGGAUAAGUAAACACGCAUGGAGCUGAAUGCUCAGGAUCUGUGUACGUCACUGUAAGUGAUACCGCCAGUAAGUAAACACACUUGAUUUUACUUUAAUAAUUACUUUAACAGGCAUUCAAUCCCUGCUGAUGAUGUCUAUUAGCCAUUUUAAGGUUCCUGAAAAUAAUGAGAAUAUGCUCUUUACUGGAAACUGAAAUUCCGUGUGCCUGUCCGCCUGGCGGGCAGUUCCACUGGACUGAGGUCACUAUGUGAGGUCACCAUCUGAGCUCAUGUUGGUAACACGCUGCGGCAAAACUGCACCGAGAGGCUGGCCUACACAAUGAUACAGAUUAACCAAUGGCAGAUAAAAAUAGCAGAAUGGCCCUGGGUGCUGGAGGGGCAGGUCCCCGCAAGGUGACCAUUCCCACAGUCUGGAGUCUGAGGUCUGGCAGAAUCCCAGGCACCCAGCCGAGGCGAGGAGAAACUAUGAAAGCCAGGAAGGCUCCCUGCUGGAAGGUUCCCUGCUGGAAGGCUGCAGGACAGAGCAUCCUCUGAGCUCAGAGCCCAGUCCCAGGGGAAGGAUCUCUGCAGGGCUCGUUUGUUGGAUGAGGAAACAGUGGUCCAGAGAAGCUGAGUGUCUGCCCAAGGCCACACAGCAGGGAAGGGACAGGCAGGCUGGGUCUAGAUUGAGGAUGGUCAUACUCAUGGUCCUAUCCUCUUGUCCCCUCCAAAUGUCCCAUGAGGAAGGUGAUAUAGGAUGGCGCAGGGAUAACAGGAUUGAUCCUGCUGUUCUCUGGGGAGAAAGUGGCAUGUUUCAAGGGUAGUGAUGGGGAGCAGAGACGCAGUGGCAGGGACUGCUCCAAGAAGGCCCAUCUGCCUGGUCCUGUGCUUUCUCCACCCAGCUCAGGCCAUGAGGGACCUCCUCUGCUGUGCACCACCCUCAGGCCCUGCUUGUGGUGCUGGAGGUGAGGUGGAGGGAGCCUCGAUUCUCCACCCUAAGGGCAAGUGCUUUCCAGAAAUCUUCAGCUUCUGCUCCUCUGAGACCUGGAGGAGCCAGGGCUCGCCUGCUCUUACUCAGACAUUCUCCCCUUUAUUCUUACCAAUCAGGCAGAGCCAGCUCGGCUCUCAUGACUCCUAGGAAGUGGGUACCAAACAAGGGCCAUGGCCUCCUGGGGCAGACAGCAAAGCUGACCCCAGCCAAGACCCACUGAGUCGGAAACCCCAAGCAGGCCCAGGAGGCUGUGUUCAGUCUCCUGUGGAAUUCCACGGUCAGCCAGGCUCGCAGCCACUGUUCUGCCCGAUGCUUCUCUCCCCUUCAUUCCCCAUCUCUGCCGCCCUUUGCGUGGCCCUUGCUCCUGGCCCCAGCAGGCACUGCGGUGGGGAAGGGUGGAGAGCCACCCCGGCCCCUACCCAGGUGGCAGCUCUCAGGGAGGGCAGGUCUGAGGCUGCUCUGCAGCCUCCCCCAGCAGCAGCUCCAUGCCACACCCCACACUGUCUGCUCAGAAACAAGCAGGCCCUCCCUGGCUCCUGGGGAUUGAACUUGCAUGUAACCAGCCACGGGCCCCUCGGGGCAGGGGAGCAAGAGGCUUUGCAUUGACCAGAAA
This 1750-nucleotide long non-coding RNA is filed under the name Homo sapiens (human). Its description in RNAcentral is "HSALNT0028497". The record is from RNAcentral. Lineage: Eukaryota; Metazoa; Chordata; Mammalia; Primates; Hominidae.